GCUCAUUUCUAGAAAUCCAAAAGGUUUAAAAAUGUCUUUUGUUGUUGUUGUUGUUGUGGUAAACCAUCUUUACUCCAUGAUCUCUGAAUAAUUCACAUCACUUUGAUCAGGUUUUCAUCUGAUGGGAUUCGGUGAGCUUGCAGGAUACCAUGUGGCGUAAUGCAGCAUUCCUGCUCUUCUGGGGAAUCUUGAACUCCUACUUUCCUCCGGACUGCUGCCAAACCGACUCUAAUUUUACUACCAGUUCUUCUCCAAACCUUUACAUGACUGUUUCUCAAAGCACUGCAUCUCAAACAAUGGAGCCCUUAACCAAUGGGAGCAGUUCUUCAGGAAGCGCUAAAACAACUAGCAUGGACACAUCAACGACAUCCGAGACACCUACACUGACUCCGAGUCAUGAGGAUGAAAAUGAACCCGACCAAACCUCACACAUAUCCAAUUCUUGGACCACUGGAACAUUAACUGGUACCCAAAAACCUGAGCCAACAACUGAAACCUCAACCAACAGAGAGCAGACGGCAUUUUCUGAAUCAACAAUUACAGCGAUCUCCCCUACAACAACUCCCGACUCGAGUUCAUCCAUCUUCACAACAAGCUCAGAACCAAACCACCUCACUAUCAGAAGUACAACCGAGACUUACUCCACCAUUCAAGCCACUACACAACCAAUGAACACUUCUGUCUCACCAAUAAACUACCAAAGCACUGCAACUCAAACAAUGGAGCCCUUAACCAAUGCCACUUCACAUGGGAUCAGCUCAACAGAAAGCACUACAACAACUAGCACGGACACAUCAAUGACAUUGACUCCGAGUCAUGCAAACAAUGAUUCAAUUACCACCACUGUUUCCAAUACACAGAAUGAUGCAGAGCAAACCUCAAACAGCAAUAUAUCUAUUUCUUGGACUGCUGGAGCAUUAAAUGGUACCCAAAAACCUGAGCCAACAAUUGAAAGAAGUGUCAUAAAACAGACGGAAUUUUCUGAAUCAACAACAACAAUGAUUGCACAUACAACAACAACUACAGGCUCUUCAUUUCCAUCCCCUGUUGCGUCCUCUGGAACAUCACGCUCCGCUACGACGACAACACAACAGCUUGAGUCAUCAGACCAUACUCAAGUCUCCAUCACAUCAAAUGAAUCGACAGCAACAACGAUUGCCCCUACACCAACUCCAGACUCGAGUUCAUCCAUCUUCACAACCAGCUCAGAACCAAAUCACUUCGCAACGAGAAGCACAACCGAGUCUUACUCCGCCAUUCAAGCCACUACACAACUGAAGAACACUUCUCUCAGUGACACUUCUGACUCACCAUCAAUCUACCAAUCUACAAAUGAAUUAGAUACUACGUCUUUCAGCCACCUGCAAACACAGAUGUCUCAAACAAUUGCUGCUGCCUCUGCACUACUUCAGUCUACAUCGUCGCAAAUCACACCAACUAAUGCAAAGAUUACAGAGCCUUCUGUUACAACCUCAACUUCCUCCAGCAGAAGUGUCACAGAUCAGACGGCAUUUUCUGAAUCCACAAGGACAAUGACUGCAGGAUCUUCAUUUCUGUCCUCUGACGCAUCUUCUGGAACAUCACACUCCACUGCGAACACAUCACAACAGUCACCAGACCACACUCAAGCCUCCAUCACAUCAGAUGAUUUGGAUUCUACGUCCAUCACGGCAGAGCCAUCAUUUACAACCUCAACGUCAGCUACAAAUACAAAGCAAACUUCCCAAAGUGCAACAGAGCCGACGGAGGAAUCAUUAACAACUGACCCACAGGAUGACACAACUGAUACUGAAAUAGCAUCGACUAUCAAAACACCUGUGGAAUCGACUACAAAUGCAAUUUCAGCCGUCGACGACACUGCAUCAGCCACAGAAAAUAACACCGAACAUUUAACUGAUGUGUUUUGGUCCUCUUCUGAUAACACAACAUGGAAUGAGUUUACAUUGACAGAUGACUUCAAUAGCACACUGAUAACCUUAAAUGAAACAACAUCUCAAUCAGAAAGUCUGCUAACUGACGGUCAAGAAACUCUGACACCUGUGAUGGAAUCGCAAUCAUCUCAGUCCGCAACAACUGACGCAACUCUAAAUCCAAGUCUGGUUACUUCCUCAGACUCAACAACACUUGUUGAGACCUCGAGCCCUGUCAUAGCGACGCAAGUUACAGCUACACCUAAAAUCCCCAACCCAGAGCACUCGCAAACACCUGUAACUGCUUUCACAGCAUCAACAUCUACAACAACGCUAACGCCGGGAACAGUUUCAAGACAAGCAAUGACACCUGAUUCAAAGCCCACAUCUAUGAACACGCCCUCAAUGUAUCUGACCACUCAAGAAAAUCUGAAAACGAACACAAACGCCUCCUUAAACCCAUUUUCUCCAGCAUCUCCUCUCACUGCCACAAGCAAUGACCCUAAACCUGUCACCACUCCAUUAGCCGAGGAACACAAAGGCUCAACUGUGGGCAUAUCAAUUCAAACAGCGCUAAAGAGGUCUGAUUCAGAAGGCACUACAAUCACAGACACUUGGUCAAACAGCAUAUCUUCAACACCAGCAGGUCUAACAAACCCACCAUUAUCAAGCAACACCAGCAGAGACGGAAACGCAGAUGAUUCUGCAAACUCAGUGAAAAGCACCAUUGUUUUUGUCUUCAACAUUCCCAAAGUACCUGUGUUUAAAACAAUCACCUUCAAUCACCCACUGGUUAAUCAAGUCACAGUCAUGAACACAGUUUUAAGACCAUGAAACGGUCACAUAAAAUGACUUAAAAGCAAAGUGUGUGAUUCAGAGAGCAUAUAUUUGGCUCCUUGUGUACGUGACAAUUGUGAAAGAGUCAAUAAGAGAAACUUCCAGCUAAAUGCAUCUUAAUGGAGAGAGAUUGGGAAUAUAAGGAAUGUAGAAGCCGAAAUGUUUUUGUGGUUACUUAACAGACAGGAAGGCAAUGUCAAUUAUUUCAACGUCAAGCAGAUCAUACUGUAUGACUACAUGCUUUAAAACAAGCCAACAAACAAAAAAAAAGAUUGAAACCAAAACAAAUGAGAUGGAAGAACAGGUGUAAUGUUUUAUGAAGACUAACUUUCAUUUCAACAAUCCAGGUAGGGGCAAACAAUUGACGCGUGAGUCUGUAGCAUAGCUUCUUAAUCAUUUAUUUUCGCAAAACAACAAUCCAUAAGAUCAACAGUUGAACCAUAUCUUCACCGCUAAACAUUAGCACACACAGCCACAUGAACACACGGUCUGAAAAUCGCAUCCGCUUCCCCCUACUCACCCCACCUACUUCCUUACCUACACUAAAUACACAAUUGCAAUAAUGUAAUAAGAGUCUCAAUUGAAAAUUUCAUAACAUUCAAUCCAAAUACUCAAACACAAAUAAUAAUGAUCAAACAUAAACUUAAUUAUAUUCAAAUUAGUAAAUCAGUCCAUUCAGUCCAAAAUAUGAAAAUAGAAAAAGAAAUGGCUCCAACAGGUUUUAUAUGUUAGUUUGUAUUCUAUUCGCUGUAGUGUUACAGGUUUAAAUUAUGCAAUGUUUACACUCAACGAAAAUCAUACAUGCAUAUAAACAAUAACAUGCAAAACCUUUUGCUCUUUGUACUUUUUCAGCUCUUUUGUCGCUUACAUACUCAUUGUGUACUUUCAUUUUGAAAUUGUGUUUUAUGAAUAUUGUUGGCUCCUACGACAAAUUGCUAUAAAAUCAUCUGCUGAAUAUUUCUUAAGACUGCAUGUUUAGGGAGGAAUGUAUUGUUGCAUAUGUAUAUCUAGUUUGGUUAAAAAUUGAAUGCAUUAACAAUGCAACACCACUUGAGUGACAGCUAUGCGUUGUGUCGUGACUCCAAACAGAGCUAAUAAAAACAUGCACUUUCAGGACAGCAUGAGUUUACAUGCUUUUAUCAAGGGACUUGCAACUUCACCUUUGUGUAAGAAAUUGCACUUGGGUAUAAAAUGGAUUGGGUGAUUUUGACUUGUUUAAGUAUUACUAUAGCCAUACUUUCUGAUUUAUACUCAUAACCAUUUAUAUUAGUUUAUUUGGCCCCACUUUAUACUAAGUGGCCUUAACUACUAUGUACUUACAUCAAAAAAUAAGUACAAUGUACUUACUGUGUUCAUAUUGUAUUGCAAAACACUUUUGCUGCUAUUGAGGUGGGAUACGGGUAGGUUAGGGACAGGUUUGGUGGUAUGGGUAGGUUUAAGGGUGGGUUAAGGUGUAAAGGAUGGGUCAACUGUGUAAUUAUAAAUGUAAUUACAGAAAUUAAUUACAGAUGUAAUUACAUGCAGGUAUUUUUAAAAUAUAAGUGCAAUGUAAAAACAUGUAUGUACACAAUAAGUGCAUUGUACCAAAUUAUUAAUUUAAAUGUAAG
This is a long non-coding RNA of Sinocyclocheilus anshuiensis, 4354 nucleotides long. Ensembl annotates it as serine-rich adhesin for platelets-like. NCBI's taxonomy places the organism in Eukaryota, Metazoa, Chordata, Actinopteri, Cypriniformes, Cyprinidae. The record is from Ensembl.